RNAcentral lists this ribosomal RNA (437 nucleotides) under uncultured bacterium. RNAcentral's name for it is "bacterial SSU rRNA". It matches the Rfam family "Bacterial small subunit ribosomal RNA", at positions 959 to 1392 of the family's 1533-position model. The record is from RNAcentral.
UUACGCGAAAACUUACCAGCUCUUGACAUGUCCAGUAUGGGGCCGAGAGAUCGACUCCUUCAGUUCGGCUGGCUGGAACACAGGUGCUGCAUGGCUGUCGUCAGCUCGUGUCGUGAGAUGUUGGGUUAAGUCCCGCAACGAGCGCAACCCUCAUCUUCAGUUGCCAUCAGGUAAAGCUGAGCACUCUGGAGAAACUGCCGGUGACAAGCCGGAGGAAGGCGGGGAUGACGUCAAGUCCUCAUGGCCUUUAUGGGCUGGGCUACACACGUGCUACAAUGGCGGUGACAGAGGGACGCGAAGGGGCAACCCUUGGCCAAUCUCAAAAAGCCGUCUCAGUUCGGAUUGUUCUCUGCAACUCGAGAGCAUGAAGCUGGAAUCGCUAGUAAUCGCGGAUCAGCACGCCGCGGUGAAUACGUUCCCGGGUCUUGUACACACCG